CUGUAAUUUGCCUCAUUAAGACAUUUCUAGCAAGGUUUCUGUAAUUUAAUAAAUUGAACAUAGUACAGACAGUUUGCUGGCGAUUACUGGACAUUUUUCACAGCUCAGGGCAUUUAUAAUCAUGCCCUCCCCCUAUAGUGGCCAUGAGCUCAUCUAGGUUCUCCUCCAAAGUGAAGGGGAAUGGAAGAGGCUGGAGGAACAAGCUGUGGUGAAUGUGAGGAUGCAAUUCCCUCUCUGUACUGAGAGAGUUAGAGGUGUGUGUGUGUUGGCACCCCUGCGCCUGACCCCAAGGCGUGCUUGUGUUUAAAAUCAUCCACAAUCCCUCCACCCCGCGCUGUGCCUGCAUGGAGCUGCCCGUGAUUGGUAUUUGUUUAAGGGAACUCAGCCUUUCCUUUCCCCUGACCUGUCUGGCUCAUCCAAGAGCACAGAGACGAGGAAGGGAGUGAGUGGUGUGUGUGAUGGGGAGGAGAAAGGGGAGGCAGGAAUAGAUUUUCGUCUUGUUUGAUCAAGCCUGAGCAGAACUGACAUCUCAUCAAAACCGCAUGUGCAGUUCCAUGCCAAGUUCAUCAGAAGGUGCCGCAGAAAGCUCCCGUUCUUUCCAGCAUGCAAAUGAAAUUAGAACCCCCUGCCAACUCUGCCAUCCUGACCUUUAUCCUGCAGGAACGGUGACACCGGAUUACCGGUGUAAGGGUUUUAUUAUUUGCACUGCUGUCUGAAUGAUUGGCUAAUUAACGGAGAUAAGGCUGUAAAAAUAAUACCAGCCUCCGUCUCUUAAUUCUCUUUUCUUUUAUUAUUAUGCAAAGACAGACUUUUCCCAUCCAGUGCCAGUACAAACACCCGCGGUGCACACCGACGUGCCGAUCGCUGAACAGUCCCGCAUCGGCCCAGAUUCCGGGCUGGAAAGAGAGCUGGGCACAUUGGGCGAUCCGCAGUGCCCUGGUGAUCUCACAUUUCCUGCUUGCUCCGAGACAGCGCUGCUGCGUCCGGUGUUCCUCUCUGACCUCCUAUGAGGUCGCGAGCGGAGGGCCUGCGGCGCGAAGAGGACAGCGGGAGGCGUCUCGCGGCCCGGCCUGGCCUCGGGGAGCUGCAGCUGGCGCUCCGCGGAUUCCUGUGCGAAAGGCGAGGGUGGCCAGGCGUCAGUGGAGAGGUGUCAGCCGAAGCCCAGGCAGGCAGCGGGAGUCCCGGUGGUGA
Molecule: long non-coding RNA, 1191 nt
Filed under: Lepisosteus oculatus (spotted gar)
Lineage: Eukaryota; Metazoa; Chordata; Actinopteri; Semionotiformes; Lepisosteidae
Description: lncRNA (ENSLOCG00000021921.1)
Source: RNAcentral